Homo sapiens (human) is the source of this 358-nucleotide long non-coding RNA. Ensembl annotates it as general transcription factor IIi pseudogene 1. Its record names the gene GTF2IP1. Lineage: Eukaryota; Metazoa; Chordata; Mammalia; Primates; Hominidae. The record is from Ensembl.
AGUGGGCAAUCGAAUUAAAUUUGUUAUUAAAAGACCAGAACUUCUGACUCACAGUACCACUGAAGUUACUCAGCCAAGAACGAAUACACCAGGUUAACCUCAGCAUGCUUUUGAUUUGGUCAAGCAAUCAAAGUACUGGUGAAGAAUUGAAGAUUGGAAGUGACACAUUUUUUGCUCAGGGAAGUAAUGGAGAAAGAAAAAUCUUCCUGGAGGUAGAUCUUCAGUUUGGAUUAGUCUGAACAUGAUGAAACCUGUAGAAACCUUCAUUUCUCAAGACAAAGCUCAAAUUCAAGGUUGUGAGGAAUGCAGUCACCACUUUUGUUAGGGGCAGUUGUGACAGUGAGUGACUGCAAAAACU